RNAcentral lists this ribosomal RNA (491 nucleotides) under uncultured bacterium. RNAcentral describes it as "partial 16S ribosomal RNA". It matches the Rfam family "Bacterial small subunit ribosomal RNA", at positions 29 to 506 of the family's 1533-position model. The record is from RNAcentral.
AGUGAACGCUGGCGGUAGGCCUAACACAUGCAAGUCGAACGGCAGCACAGUAAGAGCUUGCUCUUACGGGUGGCGAGUGGCGGACGGGUGAGGAAUACAUCGGAAUCUACUUUUUCGUGGGGGAUAACGUAGGGAAACUUACGCUAAUACCGCAUACGACCUACGGGCGAAAGCAGGGGAUCUUCGGACCUUGCGCGAUUGAAUGAGCCGAUGUCGGAUUAGCUAGUUGGCGGGGUAAAGGCCCACCAAGGCGACGAUCCGUAGCUGGUCUGAGAGGAUGAUCAGCCACACUGGAACUGAGACACGGUCCAGACUCCUACGGGAGGCAGCAGUGGGGAAUAUUGGACAAUGGGCGCAAGCCUGAUCCAGCCAUACCGCGUGGGUGAAGAAGGCCUUCGGGUUGUAAAGCCCUUUUGUUGGGAAAGAAAAGCAGCAGGUUAAUACCCCGCUGUUCUGACGGUACCCAAAGAAUAAGCACCGGCUAACUUCGU